RNAcentral lists this non-coding RNA (24 nucleotides) under Cricetulus griseus (Chinese hamster). The record is from RNAcentral. Lineage: Eukaryota; Metazoa; Chordata; Mammalia; Rodentia; Cricetidae.
GUGGGACACGUAGGCAGAUAGGUA